RNAcentral lists this ribosomal RNA (372 nucleotides) under uncultured organism. Its description in RNAcentral is "partial 16S ribosomal RNA". It matches the Rfam family "Bacterial small subunit ribosomal RNA", at positions 527 to 896 of the family's 1533-position model. The record is from RNAcentral.
GUAGGUGGCAAGCGUUGUCCGGAAUUAUCGGGCGUAAAGCGCGCGCAGGCGGUUCUUUAAGUCUGAUGUGAAAGCCCACGGCUCAACCGUGGAGGGUCAUUGGAAACUGGAGAACUUGAGUACAGAAGAGGAAAGCGGAAUUCCACGUGUAGCGGUGAAAUGCGUAGAGAUGUGGAGGAACACCAGUGGCGAAGGCGGCUUUCUGGUCUGUAACUGACGCUGAGGCGCGAAAGCGUGGGGAGCAAGCAGGAUUAGAUACCCUGGUAGUCCACGCCGUAAACGAUGAGUGCUAAGUGUUAGGGGGUUUCCGCCCCCCUUAGUGCUGCAGCUAACGCAUUAAGCACUCCGCCUGGGAGUACGGCCGCAAGGCUG